RNAcentral lists this ribosomal RNA (446 nucleotides) under uncultured bacterium. Its description in RNAcentral is "bacterial SSU rRNA". It matches the Rfam family "Bacterial small subunit ribosomal RNA", at positions 335 to 800 of the family's 1533-position model. The record is from RNAcentral.
ACUCCUACGGGAGGCAGCAGUUAGGAAUAUUCGGCAAUGGGGGAAACCCUGACCGAGCGACACUGCGUGAAGGAGGAAGGCCUUAGGGUUGUAAACUUCUGAACGAGAGACGAUAAUGACGGUAUCUCGGUAAUAGCACCGGCUAACUCCGUGCCAGCAGCCGCGGUAAUACGGAGGGUGCGAGCGUUAUCCGGAAUCACUGGGCGUAAAGGGCGCGUAGGCGGUUACAUAAGUCCGAUGUUAAAGCGUAGGGCUCAACCCUAUAAAGGCGUUGGAUACUGUGAAACUAGACUUCUGGAGAGGUAAGUGGAAUUACCAGAGUAGCGGUGAAAUGCGUAGAUACUGGUAGGAACACCCAUAGCGAAGGCAGCUUACUGGACAGAGAGUGACGCUGAGGCGCGAAAGUGUGGGGAGCAAACCGGAUUAGAUACCCUGGUAGCGAGUAG